CCGAGACUUAUUAAAACUUUAUGACGAAAGUUCUAGGUAAAAAAAAAAAAAAAGAGGAGAGAUAAAAGGGCCAUGUUAGAUGGGGGCGAAGGUUGGUGUUUAAGAUUGACAACCACACUUUCCUUGGUAACAGACAGGUGCACAUUGGGAUGAGCAACUUGCAUCACUUGGUUUUGUUGCUGAUUCAGAGUGGGCGUAACAAGUGCAAUCUCCACCGUCGAUAUUUAUGCCGCUGCAUUUAUAUGAAGUGCACUCCUCUUUGCUCUUACACUCAUUUCCUUCAAAUUCAUAAGUGAACAAAUUAUCUAAAAAAAACGUUCUUUUAUUUAAAUAUUAAUUGCGUAUUAUUUCACCAAUGUCAAAUUUUUUUUGAAGCUCAAAUUAAAGAUGAAUUAUACGUUAGACUGUAUAUGUACGAUUCUACUCUGUUUUAAAUUUGAUAAAAUAAUUGAACAUAAAUAGUUGCAUUCGACGUUGGAAAUAUUUACUGAAAUUACCAUAAGCACCGAGCUCCGAUUCUUGCGUACGUGUUGCAGCUGUUGCUGAUGACAUUUCUCCUGUAAUCAUCCAAAAUAUAUAUAUAAAAAAAGUAUAUAAUUACUCACCAAAAAAUAAAAACAAAACGAGUUGGAAGAAUAUUGAAUAUAUAAUUCCAAGAUUAGAAUGAAUUAAUUAACCUGUACUUUUUAGAUAUGCAUAUUGUUCUAUUGGCUUGGCAAAAUAGUUCUCAUCGUAUUAAGGCCUUUCUAAAAUUGUAAAACUAUAAACUAUUUAUCAAAUUAAUGAUACAAGUACUCUUUAAAUUAAAUCUGAUUCUGUAAUUUAAUUAAAUCUAAAAACCAGUCACAAAAUUAUUACUGGGAUAGAAAAUAAAGCUAGCUCAUGAUACACUAAAGAAAGAGAUGCUAACCAACGACAAUUAGCAAAAAGAUGAACAUGAAAAUCGAUUUUUGAGAAGCCAUGUUGAAUAUUUGAUUAUUGUUUGCAAAGAGAUUAUGUAUAU
This 1003-nucleotide long non-coding RNA is filed under the name Salvia miltiorrhiza (redroot sage). RNAcentral's name for it is "long non-coding RNA (SMIL_LNC007689)". Lineage: Eukaryota; Viridiplantae; Streptophyta; Magnoliopsida; Lamiales; Lamiaceae. The record is from RNAcentral.